This is a long non-coding RNA of Homo sapiens (human), 347 nucleotides long. RefSeq lists it as uncharacterized. NCBI's taxonomy places the organism in Eukaryota, Metazoa, Chordata, Mammalia, Primates, Hominidae. The transcript has 2 exons. The record is from RefSeq and is a predicted model, not a curated record.
GCUGAGGCUAUUUUUACCCAGACCUGUGCAAACAGAGGCAUGAGCUGGUCUGGCCAGUUCCUCCCCUUCCUUGGCACCUGGCCUGGAAGUCCCUUACCAAGGGCACAAGCAGCAAACUUUGACAGGAGGAUGCCCGUGCGCAGAACCCACAACCCAGUUUCUUCAAAAGAGAGCCUGCAAGGAAAAGAGAAGCACAGGCAGAGAGAUUGAGGGGAGUCUCUGUAUGAAAUUUGAAUGUGUGAAUCUCUGUAUUUAAGCAAACAACUGGUAAAAAUAAAUAAAUUAUCAAUCAAAGCACUUACAAGGCAAGGAAUGAAAAUUAAAUAAUGAUUGGAUAUUGAAUGCUA